GGCUUUUUGAAAAUAAUUUAAAGUUUGACCUGCCCACUGAGUUUUUAAAUGGCCGCAGUAUCUUGACUGUGCAAAGGUAGCAUAAUCAUUAGUUUUUUAAUUGGAAGCUUGUAUGAAAGGUCGGAUGAGAAAAUAGCUGUCUCUAUAAAAAUUUAUUAGAAUUUUAUUUUUAAGUAAAAAAGCUUAAAUAAUAAUAGAAGACGAGAAGACCCUAUAGAGUUUUAUAUUUAUAUAAUUUGAAAUUUUUAGUAUUUUAGCUUUUUUUUUAUUAUAUUAUUUGGUUGGGGUGAUUGAGAAAUUAAAAAAACUUUCUUUUUAUUAUUACAUUUAUUUAUGAAAAAAUGAUCCUUAUUUGAAGAUUAUAAGAUUAAAUUACCUUAGGGAUAACAGCGUAAUUUUUUUUGAGAGCUCAAAUCGAAAGAAAAGAUUGCGACCUCGAUGUUGGAUUAAAGUAAAUUUUUGGUGUAGAAGCUAAAAUUAAUUAGGUCUGUUCGACCUUUAAAACUUUACAUGAUCUGAGUUCAAACCGGUGUGAG
Molecule: ribosomal RNA, 536 nt
Filed under: Coeliodes rana
Lineage: Eukaryota; Metazoa; Arthropoda; Insecta; Coleoptera; Curculionidae
Description: partial 16S ribosomal RNA
Rfam family: Bacterial large subunit ribosomal RNA
Source: RNAcentral